UGGGCAUCUUUGCUCGAGCAUCUCCAAGCAUGAAUAUGGUGAACUUCACUUCUGGAUGCAAGAUUUUUUAUAUUUGGUUGUCUUUUGAUAACUAUACAAGUGAGAGAUAUUGUUCUUGCGGUUUUAAAUCACACAAGCGACUAAACUUAAGUGUAAUUUGAUUGGCUUUGUAUGUCAUCGUAAGUUCGUCAUUGUAAUCUAUGUUGCAAAUGCAGCUUUUGUUGGAUUUAUAGAAGAAAGACAGCUCUGGAGUUUUUCUAUAUAGCGGC
RNAcentral lists this unclassified non-coding RNA (269 nucleotides) under Hevea brasiliensis (rubber tree). Lineage: Eukaryota; Viridiplantae; Streptophyta; Magnoliopsida; Malpighiales; Euphorbiaceae. The record is from RNAcentral.